GAGCCCUCAAACUCAACUCUGUACCUCGAUGCCAGUUCCGCUGCAUUGUUCCCCUCUAAUCAGGGACUGCUUUAGACCUGGGACACAUAAUUCAUUACUAGGUACAAGAGUAAAGCAGCAGGCUCCGGACCUUGUAGGAGCUUGGGCGUAAGGGAGUUCUGGUCCUCACCAGGUCAGCGGGCAGGUGGGCGAAGGAGGGCACAUUGAAGACUCUCUGGACAAGCUCUGGGGGGCAGGCCUGGCCCAGCCACAGGAAGAGGGAGCGCCCAUUCUCCAGCAGGAACAUGCCAGCAUCUGUCAGGCGCUCCUCAGAACAGCGCACUGGAGCUGGCACCACAUCACUGGCAACAUCCAUAUUGUGCUGGAGGAGGAAUCAAUGAAUGAAUAUAACUUCAAAGAUAUGGAGGGGGCUGCACAUGACUCAUGUUAGACCACAAUCUGUAACAAGAACCAUU
Oncorhynchus kisutch (coho salmon) is the source of this 455-nucleotide long non-coding RNA. RefSeq lists it as uncharacterized. The transcript is spliced from 2 exons. The record is from RefSeq and is a predicted model, not a curated record. NCBI's taxonomy places the organism in Eukaryota, Metazoa, Chordata, Actinopteri, Salmoniformes, Salmonidae.